CCUACGGGGGGCAGCAAUAUUGCGCAAUGGGGGAAACCCUGACGCAGCAACGCCGCGUGAACGAUGAAGGCUUUCGAGUCGUAAAGUUCUUUUCUGAGGGAAGAUAGUGACGGUACCUCAGGAAUAAGUCCCGGCUAACUACGUGCCAGCAGCCGCGGU
This 159-nucleotide ribosomal RNA is filed under the name uncultured bacterium. Its description in RNAcentral is "partial 16S ribosomal RNA". It matches the Rfam family "Bacterial small subunit ribosomal RNA", at positions 338 to 521 of the family's 1533-position model. The record is from RNAcentral.